AUUCCGGUUGAUCCUGCCGGAGGCCAUUGCUAUCGGAGUCCGAUUUAGCCAUGCUAGCCGAGCGAGGUUAGCCCUCGCGGCGAACAGCUCAGUAACACGUGGCCAAGCUACCCUGCAGAGGGGGACAGCGUCGGGAAACUGACGGUAAUCCCCCAUACCGGUCUCACGCUGGAAUGCCGAGACCGACAAACGCUCCGGCGCUGCAGGAUGCGGCUGCGGCCGAUUAGGUAGUCGGUGGGGUAACGGCCCACCGAGCCGAUAAUUGGUACGGGGUGUGAGAGCACGAGCCCGGAGACGGAAUCUGAGACAAGAUUCCGGGCCCUACGGGGCGCAGCAGGCGCGAAACCUUUACACUGCACGAAGGUGCGAUAAGGGGACUCCGAGUGCGAGGGCAUACAGUCCUCGCUAUUGUGUACCGUAGGGUGGUACACGACCAAGAGCUGGGCAAGACCGGUGCCAGCCGCCGCGGUAAUACCGGCAGCUCGAGUGAUGGCCGAUUUUAUUGGGCCUAAAGCGUCCGUAGCU
RNAcentral lists this ribosomal RNA (525 nucleotides) under uncultured archaeon. RNAcentral's name for it is "bacterial SSU rRNA". It matches the Rfam family "Archaeal small subunit ribosomal RNA", at positions 1 to 526 of the family's 1478-position model. The record is from RNAcentral.